Molecule: ribosomal RNA, 190 nt
Filed under: uncultured bacterium
Lineage: Bacteria
Description: partial 16S ribosomal RNA
Rfam family: Bacterial small subunit ribosomal RNA
Source: RNAcentral
UCGAGUGCAUGAAGCUGGAAUCGCUAGUAAUCGCGGAUCAGAAUGCCGCGGUGAAUACGUUCCCGGGUCUUGUACACACCGCCCGUCACACCAUGGGAGUCGAUAACGCCCGAAGUCAGUGACCCAACCUUAUAGGAGGGAGCUGCCGAAGGCGGGAUUGAUAACUGGGGUGAAGUCGUAACAAGGUACC